This 26-nucleotide transfer RNA is filed under the name Apodemus argenteus (small Japanese field mouse). RNAcentral describes it as "partial tRNA-Pro". The record is from RNAcentral. Lineage: Eukaryota; Metazoa; Chordata; Mammalia; Rodentia; Muridae.
CAAGAAGUAGUUUAACAAGAAUAUCA